UCCCGAUGAGGAAACAGUCACAUGUCUUACCUCCUGUCCUAGUCCCAGAGCCUGUAAAGGUGAACCCACUGGGGCUGGCUGGGGGAAAAGAGGAUGUUUGUUCCAGAAGGAACUGUCUGAGGGAU
This 125-nucleotide small nucleolar RNA is filed under the name Suricata suricatta (meerkat). RNAcentral's name for it is "Small nucleolar RNA SNORD22 (ENSSSUG00005004575.1)". It matches the Rfam family "Small nucleolar RNA SNORD22". From Rfam's summary of the family: U22 is a member of the C/D class of snoRNA which contain the C (UGAUGA) and D (CUGA) box motifs. U22 is encoded within the U22 snoRNA host gene (UHG) in mammals and has also been identified in Xenopus. The record is from Rfam by way of RNAcentral. Lineage: Eukaryota; Metazoa; Chordata; Mammalia; Carnivora; Herpestidae.